Molecule: ribosomal RNA, 256 nt
Filed under: uncultured bacterium
Lineage: Bacteria
Description: partial 16S ribosomal RNA
Rfam family: Bacterial small subunit ribosomal RNA
Source: RNAcentral
GACGUAGGGCGCGAGCGUUUGUCCGGAUUUAUUGGGCGUAAAGAGCUCGUAGGCGGCUCGUUGCGUCGGCUGUGAAAACCCGCAGCUCAACUGUGGGCUUGCAGCCGAUACGGGCGGGCUAGGAUUCGGUAGGGGAGACUGGAAUUCCUGGUGUAGCGGUGAAAUGCGUAGAUAUCGGGGAGGAACACCAGUGGCGAAGGCGGCUUUCUGGCCCAUUCUUGACGCUGAGGCGCGAAAGCUAGGGUAGCAAACGGGG